This 301-nucleotide ribosomal RNA is filed under the name uncultured bacterium. RNAcentral's name for it is "partial 16S ribosomal RNA". It matches the Rfam family "Bacterial small subunit ribosomal RNA", at positions 509 to 807 of the family's 1533-position model. The record is from RNAcentral.
CAGCCGCCACGGGAAUACAGAGGGUGCGAGCGUUAAUCGGAUUUACUGGGCGUAAAGCGUGCGUAGGCGGCUAAUUGAGUCGGAUGUGAAAUCCCCGAGCUUAACUUGGGAAUUGCAUUCGAUACUGGUUAGCUAGAGUGUGGGAGAGGAUGGUAGAAUUCCAGGUGUAGCGGUGAAAUGCGUAGAGAUCUGGAGGAAUACCGAUGGCGAAGGCAGCCAUCUGGCCUAACACUGACGCUGAGGUACGAAAGCAUGGGGAGCAAACAGGAUUAGAUACCCGCGUAGUCCCUGUCUCUUAUAC